AGGAUGAACGCUGGCGGCGUGCCUAAGACAUGCAAGUCGAGUGGGUUUAGACCCACGGCGAACGGGUGAGUAAUACCUAGGAACUUUCUUUAAGUGGAGCAUAACCCAUAGAAAUGUGGGACAAUUCUCCAUGUGAUAGUAAUAUCAAAGCAGCAAUGCGCUUAAAGUGAGGCCUGGGCACCAUCAGCUAGUUGGUAAGGUAAUGGCUUACCAAGGCUAUGACGGUUAGGGGUCCCGAGAGGGAUAACCCCCACACUGGAACUGCGACACGGUCCAGACUCCUACGGGAGGCAGCAGUUUGGAAUUUUGGACAAUGGGCGAAAGCCUGAUCCAGCGACGCCGCGUGGACGAUGAAGGCCUUCGGGUCGUAAAGUCCUUUUGCUCGGGAACAAUAAUUUGAGCGUACCGAGAGAAUAAGAGGUUGCUAACUCUGCGCCAGCAGCCGC
This 446-nucleotide ribosomal RNA is filed under the name uncultured bacterium. RNAcentral describes it as "SSU rRNA". It matches the Rfam family "Bacterial small subunit ribosomal RNA", at positions 26 to 518 of the family's 1533-position model. The record is from RNAcentral.